Molecule: ribosomal RNA, 477 nt
Filed under: uncultured bacterium
Lineage: Bacteria
Description: bacterial SSU rRNA
Rfam family: Bacterial small subunit ribosomal RNA
Source: RNAcentral
ACCUUACCAAGGCUUGACAUAUAGUGAAAAGUGGCAGAGAUGUCAUGUCCGCAAGGGCGCUAUACAGGUGGUGCAUGGUUGUCGUCAGCUCGUGUCGUGAGAUGUUGGGUUAAGUCCCGCAACGAGCGCAACCCUCGUUCUGUGUUACCAGCAUUAAGUUGGGGACUCACAGGAGACUGCCGGGGUCAACUCGGAGGAAGGUGGGGAUGACGUCAAAUCAUCAUGCCCCUUAUGUCUUGGGCUGCACGCAUGCUACAAUGGCCGGUACAAAGUGCUGCGAGAUCGCAAGAUUGAGCGAAUCACAUAAAGCCGGUCUCAGUUCGGAUUGAGGUCUGCAACUCGACCUCAUGAAGUCGGAGUUGCUAGUAAUCGUAGAUCAGCAACGCUACGGUGAAUACGUUCCCGGGGCUUGUACACACCGCCCGUCACGUCACGAAAGUCGGUAACACCCAAAGUUAGUGGCCCAACCGCAAGGGG